Molecule: ribosomal RNA, 207 nt
Filed under: uncultured bacterium
Lineage: Bacteria
Description: partial 16S ribosomal RNA
Rfam family: Bacterial small subunit ribosomal RNA
Source: RNAcentral
CCCGUAGGCGGUUUGUCGCGUCGGGAGUGAAAUCCGCGAGCUUAACUGGUGGCUUGCUUUCGAUACGGGCAGACUAGAGGCAUGCAGGGGAGAAUGGAAUUCCUGGUGUAGCGGUGAAAUGCGCAGAUAUCAGGAGGAACACCGGUGGCGAAGGCGGUUCUCUGGGCAUGUCCUGACGCUGAGGAGCGAAAGUGUGGGGAGCGAACA